AUUGAACGCUGGCGGCAGGCCUAACACAUGCAAGUCGAGCGGAUGAAGGGAGCUUGCUCCUGGAUUCAGCGGCGGACGGGUGAGUAAUGCCUAGGGAUCUGCCUGGUAGUGGGGGAUAACGUCCGGAAACGGGCGCUAAUACCGCAUACGUCCUGAGGGAGAAAGUGGGGGAUCUUCGGACCUCACGCUAUCAGAUGAGCCUAGGUCGGAUUAGCUAGUUGGUGGGGUAAAGGCCUACCAAGGCGACGACCCGUAACUGGUCUGAGAGGAUGAUCAGUCACACUGGAACUGAGACACGGUCCAGACUCCUACGGGAGGCAGCAGUGGGGAAUAUUGGACAAUGGGCGAAAGCCUGAUCCAGCCAUGCCGCGUGUGUGAAGAAGGUCUUCGGAUUGUAAAGCACUUUAAGUUGGGAGGAAGGGCAGUAAGUUAAUACCUUGCUGUUUUGACGUUACCAACAGAAUAAGCACCGGCUAACUUCGUG
This 484-nucleotide ribosomal RNA is filed under the name uncultured bacterium. RNAcentral describes it as "partial 16S ribosomal RNA". It matches the Rfam family "Bacterial small subunit ribosomal RNA", at positions 30 to 507 of the family's 1533-position model. The record is from RNAcentral.